Psammomys obesus (fat sand rat) is the source of this 112-nucleotide long non-coding RNA. RefSeq lists it as uncharacterized. Lineage: Eukaryota; Metazoa; Chordata; Mammalia; Rodentia; Muridae. The record is from RefSeq and is a predicted model, not a curated record. The transcript has 3 exons.
CAGAUGCUGAAUAUGUAGCGACCGCACUAUCAGAUCCCCUAGUGGCUGCCGUGGAAGGAACAACGGGUCCAGAAAAAUCUCGGUGUGGGGGAGUUCUUACCAAAGCACCUGG